Molecule: ribosomal RNA, 447 nt
Filed under: uncultured bacterium
Lineage: Bacteria
Description: partial 16S ribosomal RNA
Rfam family: Bacterial small subunit ribosomal RNA
Source: RNAcentral
GUCCAGACUCCUACGGGAGGCAGCAGUGGGGGAUAUUGCACAAUGGGGGAAACCCUGAUGCAGCGACGCCGCGUGAGUGAAGAAGUAAUUCGUUACGUAAAGCUCUAUCAGCAGGGAAGAAAAUGACGGUACCUGACUAAGAAGCCCCGGCUAACUACGUGCCAGCAGCCGCGGUAAUACGUAGGGGGCAAGCGUUAUCCGGAUUUACUGGGUGUAAAGGGAGCGUAGACGGCAGUGCAAGUCCGGAGUGAAAGCCCGGGGCUCAACCCUGGGACUGCUCUGGAAACUGUAAAGCUGGAGUGCGGGAGGGGCAGGCGGAAUUCCUGGUGUAGCGGUGAAAUGCGUAGAUAUCAGGAGGAACACCGGUGGCGAAGGCGGCCUGCUGGACUGCGACUGACGUUGAGGCCCGAAAGCGUGGGGAGCAAACAGGAUUAGAUACCCUUGUAA